ACAGGAUUAGAUACCCUGGUAGUCCACGCCGUAAACGAUGUCGACUUGGAGGCUGUUCCCUUGAGGAGUGGCUUCCGGAGCUAACGCGUUAAGUCGACCGCCUGGGGAGUACGGCCGCAAGGUUAAAACUCAAAUGAAUUGACGGGGGCCCGCACAAGCGGUGGAGCAUGUGGUUUAAUUCGAUGCAACGCGAAGAACCUUACCUGGCCUUGACAUCCAGAGAACUUUCCAGAGAUGGAUUGGUGCCUUCGGGAACUCUGAGACAGGUGCUGCAUGGCUGUCGUCAGCUCGUGUUGUGAAAUGUUGGGUUAAGUCCCGCAACGAGCGCAACCCUUAUCCUUUGUUGCCAGCGAUUCGGUCGGGAACUCAAAGGAGACUGCCGGUGAUAAACCGGAGGAAGGUGGGGAUGACGUCAAGUCAUCAUGGCCCUUACGGCCAGGGCUACACACGUGCUACAAUGGCGCAUACAAAGAGAAGCGACCUCGCGAGAGCAAGCGGACCUCAUAAAGUGCGUCGUAGUCCGGAUCGGAGUCUGCAACUCGACUCCGUGAAGUCGGAAUCGCUAGUAAUCGUGGAUCAGAACGCCACGGUGAAUACGUUCCCGGGCCUUGUACACACCGCCCGUCACACCAUGGGAGUGGGUUGCAAAAGAAGUAGGUAGCUUAACCUUCGGGAGGGCGCUUACCACUUUGUGAUUCAUGACUGGGGUGAAGU
RNAcentral lists this ribosomal RNA (714 nucleotides) under uncultured bacterium. RNAcentral describes it as "bacterial SSU rRNA". It matches the Rfam family "Bacterial small subunit ribosomal RNA", at positions 772 to 1486 of the family's 1533-position model. The record is from RNAcentral.